Molecule: unclassified non-coding RNA, 370 nt
Filed under: fungal sp.
Lineage: Eukaryota; Fungi
Description: partial internal transcribed spacer region
Rfam family: Eukaryotic small subunit ribosomal RNA (bases 1-45)
Source: RNAcentral
AGUCGUAACAAGGUUUCCGUAGGUGAACCUGCGGAAGGAUCAUUACUAAACAAAUCCAAAAAUAAUGUUGAACCGUGUGGUGAUUAGUGAUUGGUUGUGCGUGGUGCGGAUGAUGAUUGGUGCGCUACGUUGUUGGUGCUUGUGGGUAUGAGAUAGGCAAUGUGCGCACACCGUGUGUGUGUUUAAUGCCCAGCCAUCCCCUCGUAUCAGCAGCAUGCAUUUGUUAUCAAUCAGAUUCUUUCUUCUCACAAACAAUCCAUCACAAAUCACAACAAUUAUAAAACCCAAUCUUGAUGUGCGAAUGGACAACAUAUAACAAAUUAUAAAUUUAUAAAAAGCAUAACUUUUAACAAUGGAUCUCUUGGCUCUU